This 308-nucleotide ribosomal RNA is filed under the name uncultured bacterium. Its description in RNAcentral is "partial 16S ribosomal RNA". It matches the Rfam family "Bacterial small subunit ribosomal RNA", at positions 505 to 807 of the family's 1533-position model. The record is from RNAcentral.
GAGACAGCAGCAGCCGCGGUAAUACAGAGGGUGCAAGCGUUAAUCGGAAUUACUGGGCGUAAAGCGCGCGUAGGUGGUUUGUUAAGUUGGAUGUGAAAGCCCCGGGCUCAACCUGGGAACUGUAUCCAAAACUGGCAAGCUAGAGUACGGUAGAGGGUGGUGGAAUUUCCUGUGUAGCGGUGAAAUGCGUAGAUAUAGGAAGGAACACCAGUGGCGAAGGCGACCACCUGGACUGAUACUGACACUGAGGUGCGAAAGCGUGGGGAGCAAACAGGAUUAGAUACCCCUGUAGUCCCUGUCUCUUAUAC